AGUGGCGGACGGGUGAGUAACGCGUGAGAAUCUGCCUUGGGGUCGGGGACAACCACUGGAAACGGUGGCUAAUACCGGAUACGCCUUCGGGUAAAAGAUUUAUUGCCCUAAGAGGAGCUCGCGUCUGAUUAGCUAGUUGGUGAGGUAAGAGCUCACCAAGGCAGCGAUCAGUAGCUGGUCUGAGAGGACGAUCAGCCACACUGGGACUGAGACACGGCCCAGACUCCUACGGGAGGCAGCAGUGGGGAAUUUUCCGCAAUGGGCGAAAGCCUGACCGAGCAAGACCGCGUGAGGGAGGAAGGCUCUUGGGUUGUAAACCUCUUUUCUCAGGGAAGAAGCUCUGACGGUACCUGAGGAAUCAGCCUCGGCUAACUCCGUGCCAGCAGCCGCGGUAAUACGGAGGAGGCAAGCGUUAUCCGGAAUUAUUGGGCGUAAAGCGUCCGCAGGUGGCGAUUCAAGUCUGCUGUCAAAGCACGGGGCUUAACUCCGUAAAGGCAGUGGAAACUGAAUAGCUAGAGUGCCGUAGGGGUAGAGGGAAUUCUCGGUGUAGCGGUGAAAUGCGUAGAGAUCGGGAAGAACAUCGGUGGCGAAAGCGCUCUACUGGACGGCAACUGACACUCAGGGACGAAAGCUAGGGGAGCGAAUGGGAUUAGAUACCCC
This 660-nucleotide ribosomal RNA is filed under the name uncultured bacterium. Its description in RNAcentral is "bacterial SSU rRNA". It matches the Rfam family "Bacterial small subunit ribosomal RNA", at positions 94 to 788 of the family's 1533-position model. The record is from RNAcentral.